CGUUGAUUACGUCCCUGCCCUUUGUACACACCGCCCGUCGCUCCUACCGAUUGAAUGGUCCGGUGAAGUGUUCGGAUCGCGGGGACGCGGGGGGUUCGCCGCCCGCGACUCUGCGAGAAGUCCAUUGAACCUUAUCAUUUAGAGGAAGUAAAAGUCGUAACAAGGU
Molecule: ribosomal RNA, 166 nt
Filed under: Medeolaria sp.
Lineage: Eukaryota; Fungi; Ascomycota; Leotiomycetes; Medeolariales; Medeolariaceae
Description: partial small subunit ribosomal RNA
Rfam family: Eukaryotic small subunit ribosomal RNA
Source: RNAcentral